This 30-nucleotide small RNA is filed under the name Bombyx mori (domestic silkworm). RNAcentral describes it as "ovarian small RNA-5180". Lineage: Eukaryota; Metazoa; Arthropoda; Insecta; Lepidoptera; Bombycidae. The record is from RNAcentral.
GAGGUAUGCGGUCAAUGACCUAUGGUCGUC